UUCUCCAUCAUUCAGUCAGGUUAGGAUGAUGCAGCUGACGCUUUCUGCUUACCCAAAACACAUCCUUGCCAUGCCAUCUUAUUUUUUUUUCUUGACUCAGCUUUGUCAGAGCAUCUUUAUAGGACACAAAUUCCAAUAUUCCACCCUUGUGUGAGACAGAUGCCCUCAUCUCUCCACAGCCCUGCACUGAUGGUUGCAGAGAUGCUAUGGUGUGAAGCUCAGAUAUCCAACACCAAGGUUGGACAUUUUUCUUGCCUGCUCUGCCAGAUGUGCUUUCUUGGGGCCCAGGAGUCAGGACUGACAACUUAUGGAAAGUGUAAAUCUCCCUCUAGUGUUCUAUACACAGCUUCCUCACCAUGGGAAUCAACCAAGGGUUGACACUGGGCAUCUUCCUCACCAUGGGAGUCAACCAUGGAUUGACUCUGACCAUCACCCUCACUGUGGAAGUCAACCAAGAAUUGGCAUUAGACAUCAUCCUCAUUGUGGGAAUUAACCAUGGAUUGACAGUGACCAUCACCCUCACUGUGGAAGUCAACCAAGAAUUGGCAUUAGCCAUCAUCCUCAUUGUGGGAAUUAACCAUGGAUUGACACUGGCCAUCCUCUUCACUGUGGAAGUCAACCAAGAAUUUACACUGGCCAUCAUCCUCACUGUGGGAGUCAAUCGAGGCUUGACAAUGUCCAUCUUCCCCACUAUGGGAAUCAACCAAGGGUUGACACUGGGCAUCCUCCUCACCAUUGGAAUCAACCAAGGAUUAAAAUUGGCCAUCAUCCCCAUUGUGGGGGUCAACCAAGGACUGACACUGACCAUCCUCUUCACCAUGGGAAUCAACCAAGGACUGACAUUGGCCAUCCCACAGGAAGAGUCUUUGAUGAAAUCUCAUCACUCAGCAGCCCUUGGUAUGAGUGUGGGCUGAAGAGGAGCUGUCAGAGCCCAGGAGGGGACCAGAGCUGCCAAGAAGCAAGCAAUUGCAUGGAUGAGGUGUUGGGCAAAACCAUGGGAUCCCAUGGUCUGCAGUGGAGUCCAUUGGAGCAGUCUGGGCUCUGGCACAAGGAGCUAUUCCCAUUCUUUGCUGCACUGCAAAGAUAGAGCUGGCAUGGUUUAUCUCAGUGCAGAAACAGCUGGCAGAUAGACAUGGACCCAACUGUUUAGAUUGGAAUGCCUUGCUGUCAGGUCGUGUUACUGGUUCAAACAGAAAGGCGCUGCGCAGCCAAAGCCAGGCAUAUACAACUGACAGAAAAGAAAAGAAGGUGAAAGCUGCUCUGGGCUCAUCAAUAACCUCCUGCACAUCCUUGCCUGUGCUCCGAGUUGAGAAAACACAGAAAUGAUCAGCACUCGGGUCAGGAUUUCGUGAGCUGUCCAAGGAGAAUUUACUCUAGCUCCUUCCUGACAGGAGACAGAGGUAUAAAAAACAAUGCAGUGACUUCUGUUCAAGCAAUAGCUGUGUAAAAUAUUGUUCAUCAGAGCUGUAAAGGUUAGCUCAGCAGAGAAAUAAGGUCUGCAGCUUUUGGCUUUGUAUCCCUUUGGGCAAUCCAUUUGCGAGUUUGUUGAAGGCAAGGAGAAAGAUCCAGUGAUUGGAAAGGGGCUGCACUCACCCCAGCUCAGUCCCUGAAUUCAGCAUCUUCCUUUUCUCCAUUGGCUUUGAAGUGCUUCCAGCCAAUACAGAUUUGUAAAAUGAUUGAAAGGCAUCCACUGCAUCAUCGUAAUAUUUCUCAGGCACUAAAAAUGCCUCCCAUAGCAUCUCCCUGAUGGCACUUCUACCCCUCUAUCCCUGUGCUUCACCCAAAAGCCACCCACCAGCCUCAGUGCUGAGCACGAGAUGAGCAGGCUGAAGGAUGGAGUGGGUCUAAACCCACUACCCCAAAUCUGACGGUCCCACUUCACUUCUGGCUGUUAACAGGGCGAGCCUGGAAUCAUUUUCUCUAGAACAGCUCCUCCACAGGGUCUCACUCACAGCAUCUCCCCUCACUGGAAGAUCAGCAUCAACCAAUUCAAGCUACCCAGAAGCAGAGGCCGAGGGAAGGAAACCUGCUGUGCUGAAGGCAUUUAGAUGGGAUGCAGCACUCUCCUUCCCUACCAGGGGAAGCCAGCUUUGUCAUCCACAUUGUCCAUUGGGAAGGAGAAAGAUGGAAUCUCUGGAUCAGCUGGUUGGAAGGAGAAAGCACCGCAGCAAAGAGUUGAACGGAAAGCGGUGAGCUGCUGCUUGUGAACGAAGCGCGCGGAGCUCCGCCCCAGCCGUGCAUUAAAGUUCAGCUGCUGAACCAUGAAUCCCUACGGCUGUGGGGUUGUGCUUGAGGAAGAUGAGGAUCCCUCCUCUGAAAUGCUCAGAACCCGACCCCAAGCUGCCCAAAUCCACCCCACAGAUGGAGAUGCGAGAUGAGGUUCGGCCACCCCUGCUCCCCACAGCCCUGCAGAGGAUUCCUUUGCCCCAUGACUUCUCUUCCCCAGGACUCCAUUCCGGUGCUGUCCAUACUUUUGAUGCCACUCAAAUUCUGCAGGGCUGCAUGCAUAGUGGUGCACAGCUCCAGCCCUGCACCUGCUGCUCAUCUGGCACCAUUCUGCCACGGAGGCAAUGCCCAGCAGCCACCACCAGGCGUUGGGGCCAGGCUGUGCCAGCAGCAGGGCGGUUUCUUGGAGCUGCUCUUGUGAAACAAGCCGGGCCGGUGCCGAAGCUGUCACCCAGCAACGUCACCAAGCAGGAAACCAUUGCAACCCAACCCCAAAAUAGCAGCAAUCCCCAGAAAAGCCAUUCCCUUCUUCCCGCCUGAGUUCCCCUGCUUGCAGCAGCGCCGGCACUCCCUGGGGCACGUCGUGGUGCACAGUCACAGCCCUGAGUGCACGCAUCACGCUGUGCUGGGCUUCUGCAGCCGCAGCAGUCGUGCCCCAGCUCUGCGGAGCUCCAUGCACGCACGCAGCCACCAAACGUCGGCUCUCCGUUCCACCAAGGCCGCUCCUCAACGCUCAAAAAUUUUCCAGGCUUGGAGCCGGGCCAGCGGUGAAUUUUGUUUUGCAACUGAGCAAAAUCAGCUCAGUGUUGUCGCUGCCCGGCCCCCACGUGAGCACAGCGCGGGGUUCUGGGCUCUCCCAGCCCCACUGUUUGCAUUGCGUUGUGGCUCUAUGCUGCUGGGCCGUGUCCCAGUGCUCUGCCUGCCUCUACAGGCUGUGUGCCCUGUGCUGGGGCUAGAGAUCCUAUAGAGCUUGUGACGGGGCUGUAGGCCCUAAAGAUGCAGUAAGAGUUCUUAAAAUGGGCCUUGGUCUGCCAUGGUGGGGCCUGAGCUGUAGGACAGGCACAACAGCUUCUUGUCCUGGUGUCACCAAGCCACCAACCUCCCAGUGCUACCAACCCAUUCUCACAAUGCUACCAACCCAUCCUCCCAUUGUCACCAACCCACCCUCCCAGUGUCAUCAACCCACUGUCCCACUGUCACCAACCCAUCCUCUCAAUGCCACCAACUCAUCACCCCAGUGUCCCCAACCCAACUUCCUGGUGUCACCAACCCAGGAUUGCAGUGCCACCAACCCAUCAUCCCAUUGUCCCCAACCCAACUUCCUGGUGUCACCAACCCAGCCACCCGAUGUCAACAACCCAACCUCCAAGUGCCAUCAAACCAUCCUCCCAGUGCCACCAACGCAUCCCCCCCAAUGUCACCAACCCACCCUUGCAGUGCCACCAACUCAAUCUCCCAAUGUCACCAACCCAUUCUCCCUGUGUCACCAACCCAGCACUGCAGUGCUGCCAACCCAUCCUCCCAAUGUCACCAACCCAACUUCCUGGUAUCACCAACCCAUCCUCCCAAAGCCAUCAACCCAUCGUACCAUUGUCACCAACCCGUCUUCGCAAUGCCACCAAUCCAUCCUUCCAAUGUCACCAACCCAUUCUCCCAGUGACACCAACCCAAUUUCCUGGUAACACCAACCCAACCUCCCAGCAUCACCAGCCCACCCUUGCAGUGCCACCAACCCUCUCCCAAUGCCACCAAACCAUCCUCCCAAUGUCACCAACCCAGCACUGCAGUGCUGCCAACCCAUCCUCCUGAUGCCACCAACCCAUCCUCCUGAUGCCACCAACCCAACCGCCCAGUGUCACCAACGCAUCCUCCCGAUGCCACCUACCCAAUCUCCCAGUGCCACCAACCCAACCUCCCAAUGUCACCAACCAAAGCCACCCAGGCUUUGUCCAAAGCAUCCAGCACAGUCCCACAGCUGCCCUCACCUCUUCCCCUCCCUAUCCAUAGGUUUUUCCCACCCUCUCUGCGCGUGUUACACCCAAACACAAGGCUGUGGGCUCUAAAGGCACUGACACUCACCGUGCGUCGGCGCAGACCCAAAGCUCUCUCCCUGAUGCUUGUCUCGGUGAGGAACGCUCGGCGCUACAAGCCCACGGAGCUCAAGGAGCAUCCGAUCCCCCGCGGGGUCUCCCAUCCCAGAGGAGAACAACUGGACCAGUUCUACCUGUGUGCCAGUUCCUGGGGCAGGUAGGGCCAGUGGAAAGAAUUCCUGCCAUUCCAGAUGGUUGAGUCACAGUGUCCCCACUGCCAUCCUUCGCCUUCAUCUCCUCCUCCCAAGAGGGGCUGAGUCAGCGCCGUGGGCGCAGCGCUCGCAGCCUCCCCCCCGGGCUGCUGCUCUAUGGGACUGCGUUCCCACGUCCCCCCCACCCCCCUCCUCUCCCUCGUGGGUUCGUUGGC
Long non-coding RNA from Lagopus leucura (white-tailed ptarmigan), 4683 nucleotides. RefSeq lists it as uncharacterized. The transcript is spliced from 7 exons. The record is from RefSeq and is a predicted model, not a curated record. Lineage: Eukaryota; Metazoa; Chordata; Aves; Galliformes; Phasianidae.